Molecule: ribosomal RNA, 296 nt
Filed under: uncultured bacterium
Lineage: Bacteria
Description: partial 16S ribosomal RNA
Rfam family: Bacterial small subunit ribosomal RNA
Source: RNAcentral
CAUCCUACGGGGGGCAGCAGUGGGGAAUAUUGCACAAUGGGGGAAACCCUGAUGCAGCGACGCCGCGUGAGUGAAGAAGUAUUUCGGUACGUAAAGCUCUAUCAGCAGGGAAGAAAUAAAGUCCUUUGGACUUUGGACGGUACCUGACUAAGAAGCCCCGGCUAACUACGUGCCAGCAGCCGCGGUAAUACGUAGGGGGCAAGCGUUAUCCGGAUUGAUUGGGCGUAAAGGGUGCGUAGGCGGCCUGCUCAGUCUGGAGUGAAAGGUACCGGCUCAACCGGUACAGGCUCUGGAAA